Molecule: long non-coding RNA, 981 nt
Filed under: Pan troglodytes (chimpanzee)
Lineage: Eukaryota; Metazoa; Chordata; Mammalia; Primates; Hominidae
Description: long non-coding RNA NONPTRT000033
Source: RNAcentral
AAAAAGUGCCUUUCACCACCCGCCAUGAUUCUGAGGCUUCCCCAGCCAUGUGGAACUGUAAGUCCAAUUAAACCUCUUUUUGUUCCCAGUUUUGGGUAUAUCUUCUUCAGCAGCGUGAAAAUGGAGUGCACACACACGUCAGCACUGUGGGCGCACACACCUGCACUCACAUGUUCAUCAGGACCCAUGGGCACACGUGCACACACGUCAGCACCAUGGGCGCACACACCUGCACUCAUGCACUCAUCAGGACCCACGGACAUACGUGCACACAUGUCAGCACCGUGAGUGCACACACCUGUACUCACGCACUCAGGACCCACGGACAUACGUGCACACACGUCAGCACCGUGGGCGCACACACCUGCACUCACACACUCAUCAGGUCCCACGGACAUACGUGCACACACGUCAGCACCGUGAGUGCACACACCUGCACUCAUGCACUCAACAACACCCACGGACACAGUGCACACACACGUCAGCACCGUGGGUGCACACACCGGCACUCACGCACUCAGGACCCACGGACAUACGUGCACACACACAUCAGCACCGUGGGCGCACACACCUGCACUCACGCACUCAUCAGGUCCCACGGACAUACGUGCACACACACGUCAGCACCGUGAGUGCACACACCUGCACUCACGCACUCAACAACACCCACGGACAUGUGCACACACACGUCAGCACCGUGGGCGCACACACCGGCACUCACGCACUCAGGACCCACGGACAUACGUGCACACACACAUCAGCACCGUGGGCGCACACACCGGCACUCACGCACUCAGGACCCACGGACAUACGUGCACACACAUCAGCACCGUGGGCGCACACACCUGCACUCAACGCAUUCAUCAGGACCCACAGGCAGAUGUACACACAUGCACCAGCACCCGUGAGACACGUGCACGCACACAUCAGCACCCAUGGGCAUACAUGGAUGCACACAUCAGUACCAUGGGCACACACACA